CCUCUGCAUCAUCCCCCUGGAAUUCUGCCUGUGAGCUGACAUUUCUGGGAGCUUCAUUAAUUCAUUCUCGAGUAUAUUAAUUAAUGCUGAGAGACAAAAAUAACUGAGUGGUUAAGAACACUGGCUUUGGCGGUGACACCUAAAAACUGUCUUCAUGAAUCUCAGCUGUCAUUCACUGCUGCAACCUUGACCAAUUUCCUUAACUGUCAGCCUCAUUUUCCUAGUGUAUGAGAGAUGCCAUGUGCCCAGCAUGGUGGAGUCAAUGUUUUCUGCUAUUUUAGAGUUUACAGCUCAACAGGUGGUCAGUUCAGUUUAGUGGAUGUUCUUUUUUGUUUGUUGGUUUAGAGGCAAGGUCUCACUCUGUCGCCCAGGCUGGAGUGCAGUGGUGCAAUUACAACUUACUGCAGUCUCAAACUCCUGGGGCCAAGCGAUCCUCCUGCCUCAGCCUCCUGUGUAGCUGGGAAUACAGGUGUGAAUGUUCUUUACCACCUGUGUAGGAUAUGGAACUUCAUCAUGGGACUCCGCCCCUUCUGCUGCUGUUGUCCUCUGUCAAUCACCUGCCUCUGAAGCCAUCUCCCACAUCAGUGGGGUGAUUUUUGUUUCGAAGGACAAGCUGACAAUGACAAGACUUCCCGCUUCCCCUCUAGGGUGCAGAGACAAGAACUGCAAGGUGCUGCUCCCUCCCGUGACUCCUAAGCUGCUAGAUGAGAGCUGUGCUUCUCUUAUCUGGGCCUCAGGACAUGGCCCUGUGUUUCCAAUCCUUCAGCUGCAGGCGUUUUUCAGCCAACAGUUUGACUUCAACGAAGUCAGCAGCAUCCUGAGUCAAACCCGGCUGGAGUCCCUCUGCUCAGAGCAGCGUUGCGUGGGUGUGUCACACAGAUGGGCACAGUCACCCAGGCCACAGGGCUUCUCUAGAAGCUGGAGGGAACCUUGGCUAGGGCUUAACCUGCUUCGGUUCACCACUUCUCUGCCAAGCCCUUUUCUGUGGAAUUUCCAUCUGCCUCUCCACAGCAAUGACUUGAAAACUGGCAACAUAAGCUUGCUGCCGCCUCCCUAUGGUAUGUUUCCCGGUUGGACAAGCAGCUCAGAAUGCCCCCUGCCCAUCUCACUUCAUAAUUUGUGUCAGUACUUCCUGGAGUGGGACUGCUUCCCUUGGAAGUUGCUGGAAGGUGGAGUUAAUUCAGGUCAUGGUGUUCCAGCUGCAAAGGGUCCCGCUGGACCAGAGGCUUCAUGGAGGGAUGGGGCUAAUGGAGCAGAGAUGGAGAAUGGAAGCUGAAAAGAAGAUUCCAAACUGAAAGGAGUUUACACUGGCAGUGAUUUGUACAAGACAAAAGGAGAAAAACUGGAAAAACCGAGAUCAUAUUAAAGUGAACAAAUAAGGAUCAACAGCUUCAGAGAAAUGAAGACAUUGCUAAUAACAAUCAGUGAUGAGGGAGAUGUGGUUUGGCCGUGUCCCCGUCCAAAUCCCAUCUUGAAUUAUAGCUCCCAUAAUUCCUACAUGUUAUGGGAGGGACUCAAUGGGAGGUAACUGAAUCAUGGGAGUGGGUCUUUCCCGUGCUGUUGUCAUGAUAGUGAAUAAGCCUCGUGAGAACGGAUGGUUUUUAACAAGGGGAGUUCCCUUGCACACACACUCUUGCCCAUCACCAUGUAAGACGUGCCUUUGCUCUUUCUCCACCUCCAUCGAGAUUAUGAUGCCUUCCAGUUAUGUGGAACUGUGAGUCCAUUAAACCAGUUUCCUUUAGAAAUUACCCAGUCUUGGGUAUGUUUUUGUUAGCAGCAUGAGAACAGACUAAUACAGGAGGUAAAUUUCUUCCCCCACCAAAUGAACAUGGAAGGCAUUAAAGGCUUUGAAGUUAAAGGUAGGAAGCAUGCUGGAUGUGAAAAGUGUGAAAGCUUCUUUCUCUCAAGGAAUCCUGACUUCUGCAGGUACAGAGGACAGAGAAGCCUAAUGAUCACUCAGAGAGUGAAUGAAGGCUGGGAGCUGGUAGAGGAUAGAGGAUGCCACUGCCACCAGCCCUCACUGCACUUCCUUCAGGUAAGACAGGGAGGAAGUGAGAGGGCACAGAGGCCACGCAUUCAGUUUUGCUGUCAUCAAUUCCUAGAGUCACAAGUUUUAUCUCCUGACACAUUUCUGAUACAGUGCUUAGGACAUCCUGCCCUUCAAAAACAGCUCAGGAAAUAAACCUUGUGACUUCAGGCAUUGAGCCAUUCUUGGGAUCGAAAAUCUGUGACCUAUAGAGUAUGGAAUGAUAGACACUGGAGACUAGGAAGGAUGAAGGGUGGAAGCGGGUGAGAGAUGAGAAAUUAUCAGAGCCACUGGAACCAGAGUGACUCCAUCUUGAAGAGGGGCUGGGUAAAAUGAGGCUGACACCUGCUGGGCUGUGUCCCCAGGAGGUCAGCCAUUCUUAGUCACAGGAACGACGGGAUAGGAAGUAACAAAGACCCCUCUGAUUAAACAGGAUGCAGUAAAGAAGCCAGCCAAAACCCAUCAAAUCCUAGAUGGCAAUGACGAUGACCUCUGGUCAUCUUCACUGCUCAUUCUACACUAAUGAAAAUGCAUUUGCACACUCAAAGACACUCCCACUCCUGCAGUGACAGUUUACAAAUGCCAUGACAAUGUCCAGAAGUUACCCUACAUGGUUUAACCCUCAGUUGCAGGGGAAUUGCCCACCCCUUUCCUGGAAAAUUCAUGAAUAAUUCACCCCUUGUUUAGCAUGUGAUCAAAAAGUAACCAUAAAAAUAGCCAACCAGUAGCCCUUGUGGCUGCUCUGCCUAUGGAGUAGCCCUUCUUUUGUUUAUUUACUUCUCUCAUAAAUGCUUUCACUUUACUCUGUGGAGUCACCCCAAAUUCUCUCUUCCAGGGAGAUCCAAGAACAGUCUCUUAGGGUCUGGAUCAGGACCCCUUUCUGGUAGCAAAAUUACUUAAUGGAUACAAUGUACAUUAUUUGAGUGAUGGUUACACUAAAAGCCCAGACUUUACCUCUAGGCAAUAUAUCCAGGUAACAAAAUUGCGCUUGUACCCCUUAAAUUUAUACAAACAAUUAAAAAAAGAAAAUCACAACCUGGGGGGAGACUGCUGUUACUCAGCCCUCGGGUUUCCACCUGUCAGUGUUACUGUGAAGAAUAACCUUAAAAUUAUCCCAGGAGUGUCUAAAGGAAAAAUUCAUAGUACAUUUGAUGGUCUGCUGUCAGAACUUUUCAUGCCAUUUUUUUUCUGGUUAAGUGUCAAAAUGAGCAUCAUAAAAUUCUGCGUAAGAGUCUAACUGAUACUAUUAGAAUCAUUAACAUGUUACUGCUCCUUUAUGUUUGAGAUUCUUCAUAACCAUUCAGACUAUCCAUUCAUUUACCGAAUACAUAGUCAUAAAGUUUGUAGGAAAGCUCCCUUCAGCCUACCUGCUUUGAAUUAGUUCCUCACUAAUUGUGUUCUAACUGAUCUCCCUGUGCCUCCUCACCUUCCAACCCUACCAUCAGCGCCUUCCUGACGAGAAAGUAAAAAUUAGCUCAGAACAAGAAAGUAAAAACAUGCCUGGCCAUUCAUCAGGCUGGAAUAACAGACACGGAUAAAGCCGUCUUCAAAGUAACAGGGAACGGUAUUUCUCCCAAGGACAUACUGCAACUCUAACAGGUCAGAACAGCCCCUUCUUUGAGUCACUACUGCUUUUUUACUCUCUAAGAAACUUUAUUCUCUAAAAUCAUGGACUCUCCAAUGCUUUGCUGUUUAGAAUUGUAUCAGUAAGAAUGAAACCUCCACUUUUGGCUGGAAAACCUAGUCGCUUUUUGAUGCAGAGAAACAGUCUAGGUUUAUAACGCGGAGGCAGAGCUUCAGACAAGGGGUUUCCACAUCUAUCUCACAACUGCAUUGUUUCCAUAGAAACAGGAUCCUGGGUCCAUUUUUCAGUGCAGAUCUGAUACUGACCCCUUUAUACUACCCUACUUCACUGUGAGCCUAUCAAAACACUGCUUCAUUCAAAUUUCAUCUAAACCCCACCCUUCCCCAGAAUCCUAGAUUACUUCUGUUUCUUCUUUGUUUGGUGAAAUGCCCUCUAGAGUUCCAUUUACCCAAUUGGAUUAGAUAAAUAAAUCCAAAUGUACCAGACUAUUGGUUUGUUUCUGGUGGUCUUUGGUUGAUGCAGCUAGCACAUUGAGCAGCUAAUGCUUAUUCUGCCACAAACAGAAUAAAUUUUUCAAGAGGUUGGCAGAAUGGCUAUAAGAGUCAUCUCCAGCUGGGCACAGUGGGCACAGUAGCGCACGCCUCUAAUCCCAGCACUUUGGGAGGCCAAGGCAGGUGGAUCACUUGAGGCCAGGAGUUCAAGACGAGCCUGGCCAAGAUGGUGAAACCCUAGCUCUACUAAAAAUACAAAAAAGAAAAGAAAAUUGUUGGGUGUGUUGGCAGACACCUGUAAUCCCAACAACUCAGGAGGCUGAAGCAAAAGAAUCACUUGAGCCUUGGAGGUGGAGAUGGCAGUGAGCCGAGAGUAUGCCACUGCACUUUAGCAUGGAUAAUGGAGAGAGACUCCGUCUCAAAAAAUAAAAAGAAAAACUAAAAUUCAUCUCCUAUCAUUAUGUAUGGUUCUUUUAUUUUUUUCAAAGUAUUUAGAUGAUGGAACUUCUGCCUUUGUUAAGGGUAUUUGUACAGGACAUGGGGUAUUUGAAUUAUACAAAUCUUGUACUCAAGGAUCCAGGACCAGUCAAUACUUUCAUAUAAACUUGGAAAUAAUUACCCUAGACCAGAGAUCACUGGUAUAUUAUUAUAAAACUGUUUCUGUAAAUGGACGAAUAGUAAAUAUUGCUGAAAACUAUGUAACUCUGUUGUUCUUGUAGCCCAAAAGUAGCCAUAGACAAUAUGUAGUGAUGGGGCUUGGCUGUAUUCCAACAAAACUUUGUUUUAGCAAAACAAGAAAUGGGCCAGAUUGAACUCAAGGGCCACGGUUUGCUGACCCUCAUCCUAGACCAUCGCAAUAAA
Macaca fascicularis (crab-eating macaque) is the source of this 4963-nucleotide long non-coding RNA. NCBI's taxonomy places the organism in Eukaryota, Metazoa, Chordata, Mammalia, Primates, Cercopithecidae. The record is from Ensembl.